Molecule: long non-coding RNA, 178 nt
Organism: Alosa sapidissima (American shad)
Lineage: Eukaryota; Metazoa; Chordata; Actinopteri; Clupeiformes; Clupeidae
Exons: 3
Source: RefSeq, a predicted model, not a curated record
GUUGGGUUCAACGGCAGCGUGGUGCAGGCCAGCAAUUUACAGCACAAAUCGCAAGGAUUAUAAAAUCAGCAGGAAUUAUACAAUGAGGCUUAAGUGAAAGUUAAACCGUGUCAGACAAGUCAGUUUGUUUGCUGCCCGCCGAAUAUCGUUGGCAAGCAGGUUGCAUGACUGUGGGUAG